RNAcentral lists this ribosomal RNA (584 nucleotides) under uncultured bacterium. RNAcentral describes it as "bacterial SSU rRNA". It matches the Rfam family "Bacterial small subunit ribosomal RNA", at positions 338 to 916 of the family's 1533-position model. The record is from RNAcentral.
CCUACGGGAGGCAGCAGUAGGGAAUCUUCCACAAUGGACGAAAGUCUGAUGGAGCAACGCCGCGUGAGUGAUGAAGGUUUUCGGAUCGUAAAACUCUGUUGUAAGGGAAGAACAAGUACGAGAGGGAAUGCUCGUACCUUGACGGUACCUUGCGAGAAAGCCACGGCUAACUACGUGCCAGCAGCCGCGGUAAUACGUAGGUGGCAAGCGUUGUCCGGAAUUAUUGGGCGUAAAGCGCGCGCAGGCGGCCUUUUAAGUCUGAUGUGAAAGCCCCCGGCUCAACCGGGGAGGGUCAUUGGAAACUGGAAGGCUUGAGUACAGAAGAGAAGAGUGGAAUUCCAUGUGUAGCGGUGAAAUGCGUAGAGAUGUGGAGGAACACCAGUGGCGAAGGCGACUCUUUGGUCUGUAACUGACGCUGAGGCGCGAAAGCGUGGGGAGCAAACAGGAUUAGAUACCCUGGUAGUCCACGCCGUAAACGAUGAGUGCUAGGUGUUGGGGGUUUCCGCCCGUCAGUGCUGAAGCUAACGCAUUAAGCACUCCGCCUGGGGAGUCGGCCGCAAGGCUGAAACUUAAGGAAUUGACGG